UGAACUUCUUCUCUUUGCUGAAUUGUUGCUGAGUAGUGAAAAUUCUGCAUUUGAUUUGGCCUGAAUCUAGGAAAUUGGAGGCUCCUGGAGUCGUUGAUGAUCGUUGAUUUGGCUGUGGUUACUGUUCUAAGGUCGUAUAAUGAGACUACAUUUUUUCUUUGGGAAGGACAUGAAGA
Molecule: non-coding RNA, 176 nt
Organism: Arachis ipaensis
Lineage: Eukaryota; Viridiplantae; Streptophyta; Magnoliopsida; Fabales; Fabaceae
Source: RefSeq, a predicted model, not a curated record